This 571-nucleotide ribosomal RNA is filed under the name Bacillus sp. (in: firmicutes). RNAcentral's name for it is "bacterial SSU rRNA". It matches the Rfam family "Bacterial small subunit ribosomal RNA", at positions 61 to 614 of the family's 1533-position model. The record is from RNAcentral. Lineage: Bacteria; Bacillati; Bacillota; Bacilli; Caryophanales; Bacillaceae.
GUCGAGCGGACAGAUGGGAGCUUGCUCCCUGAUGUUAGCGGCGGACGGGUGAGUAACACGUGGGUAACCUGCCUGUAAGACUGGGAUAACUCCGGGAAACCGGGGCUAAUACCGGAUGCUUGUUUGAACCGCAUGGUUCAAACAUAAAAGGUGGCUUCGGCUACCACUUACAGAUGGACCCGCGGCGCAUUAGCUAGUUGGUGAGGUAAUGGCUCACCAAGGCAACGAUGCGUAGCCGACCUGAGAGGGUGAUCGGCCACACUGGGACUGAGACACGGCCCAGACUCCUACGGGAGGCAGCAGUAGGGAAUCUUCCGCAAUGGACGAAAGUCUGACGGAGCAACGCCGCGUGAGUGAUGAAGGUUUUCGGAUCGUAAAGCUCUGUUGUUAGGGAAGAACAAGUACCGUUCGAAUAGGGCGGUACCUUGACGGUACCUAACCAGAAAGCCACGGCUAACUACGUGCCAGCAGCCGCGGUAAUACGUAGGUGGCAAGCGUUGUCCGGAAUUAUUGGGCGUAAAGGGCUCGCAGGCGGUUUCUUAAGUCUGAUGUGAAAGCCCCCGGCUCAACC